This 299-nucleotide signal recognition particle RNA is filed under the name Saimiri boliviensis boliviensis (Bolivian squirrel monkey). RNAcentral describes it as "Metazoan signal recognition particle RNA (ENSSBOG00000004429.1)". It matches the Rfam family "Metazoan signal recognition particle RNA". From Rfam's summary of the family: The signal recognition particle (SRP) is a universally conserved ribonucleoprotein. It is involved in the co-translational targeting of proteins to membranes. Lineage: Eukaryota; Metazoa; Chordata; Mammalia; Primates; Cebidae. The record is from RNAcentral.
GCCAGGCAGAGUGGUACGUGCCUAUAGUCCCAGCUACUCAGGAGGCUGAGGUGGGAGGAUCGCUUGAGCCCGGGAGUUCUGGGCUGUAGUGCGCUAUGCUAAUAGGGUGUCCACACUAAGUUUGGCAUCAAUAUGGUGACCUCCGGGGAGCGGAGGACCACCAGGUUGCCUAAGGAGGGGUGAACUGGUCCAGGUCAGAAACAGAGCAGGUCAAAACUCCUGUGUUGAUCAGUAGUGGGAUCGAACCUGUGAAUAGCCACUGCACUCCAGCCUGGGCAACAUAGCAAAACACGAUCUCU